Gossypium arboreum is the source of this 1634-nucleotide RNA transcript. RefSeq lists it as uncharacterized. NCBI's taxonomy places the organism in Eukaryota, Viridiplantae, Streptophyta, Magnoliopsida, Malvales, Malvaceae. The transcript has 4 exons. The record is from RefSeq and is a predicted model, not a curated record.
AUAUGUCUUGAUCUCGCUCCAACUCUAAUUCUUAAGAAAAAAAAUUCGCCCUAAAUCCGAAUUCAAAAUUUUAUAGAAGACCUAACCCCACCUUGAAUUUAAUUUAGGUGUUAUAUUUUUUAUUUUGAAGCAAAUAAAAUUAAUUAUUAUUAGUAUACACUUCUUUUUUGAAAAAGACAAUUGGCUUGUAUUUGUUUCAAAAGAAUAAAAAAAACAAAAUAAAAAACAAGAAAUUAAAGCAACCCUAAAGGAACCCAAUCGGUUUCCUAAAACAAAAAGAAAAAAAAAAAAAACCAAGCAAACGUCCCUAAUCAGAAGCCAGCCUUUCCACGAUCGAAACUCCUAUUGAAACAUCCAGUACCCAGCAAUUCCCGUUCACCGACUGAGUGUCCGUUCGUCGAUACUCAUGCUAGAAACCGGGGGCACCUCUCUUAAGAGUCCAAAACUCCUCACAAAGCCGAUGUCUUCUUCAACCAGCUUGAUUCCGAGGUACCCCCACUGAACCCAUCCACUUUGUUCAUCGAGAGACCAUUUUCACUGAGGUUUCACUUAAUAAACCCCUAACUGACAAUAACCCUUUUCAAACUUGAUCGAUUCAUUUGUUCUAUCUACCCUCUUCUAUUCCACCAUGCAAUCCUUAUUACGCCACUUACUCUCUCAGAGAUUCUCUUCGGCGAUCAUCAUCUACCUCCAUAGCAGUCGACCGAGGAAAUCCAUUUUGCAGAUAAGUACCCCUGUUCCUUUUAACUCCUCCACUGCUAAUGCGUGCACCACUUUAUUUGCCUAUCUCAAUGUAUUUCUAAACAAGCAUGCUUCAUAGUUAGAGCUUAGCAUUCUAACGCUUAAUACAUAGGCACUAAUUUCAGAUUUAUAUGUAUUCCCUAUUUGUACCUUUAUUACUGACAACGCAUUGUCUUCAAUUUCAGCCUUCACGAUUCCCAAAUCCACCCCUAACUGAACCGCUUGGACACACGCAAUUGCCUCUGCAACAAAUCCAGUUGGUAUGUGCUCAUUCAGGCGCAUGCAUCAAAGUUGAUUUUCACAUACGACUCCUUCGGCGAUCUCCAACGCUCUCCCUAUACUCUUCAACCAGCUAUCCACAUGGCCAAAAAUGAACAGGCUAUUACUCACAUUUUUGUAUUGAGACGCUGUUAUAGAGUUAAACAAUCCCUAAAAGCAUGCUCAACAUUUUCUGCUUUGCCUGUACAUUUGGGACAGUUCGCAGAUCCCACCAAUCUCCUUUAGUAUAGAUUGUAUUGAUUAGGCAAAUAACUGUUAAAAAUCCUCCAAUUCAUAAUUUUUAUUUUAGAAGGCAGAUCCAAGAGCCAAAGUCUUUUAUAAAAAUAUAAAAAGGGUUGUAAGCAUGUUGUUCAUUGUUGAGAGUAGUCGGGUGUAUUUCUUGUAUUAGUAUUUUGUACCCACUCCUUAUCCAGUAUUCCCCAGAAGCCUCACCUCGCCAUACCAACCUGUCCUCCUGUGGUCGACAUGGUAAACGAAUGCAUAAGAUCCUGUCAGCUUCUUCUUCAUUAAAGGUAGUUUUAAUUAAUCCUUCCCUCCAAUAAUUUGUAGUUUGAUCAAUUAAAUACGAUACAUAACAUAUAUGCUGAUCAUUUGCUCGUGUUUGGAUUUUGAAA